Molecule: long non-coding RNA, 3332 nt
Filed under: Brassica rapa (field mustard)
Lineage: Eukaryota; Viridiplantae; Streptophyta; Magnoliopsida; Brassicales; Brassicaceae
Description: long non-coding RNA (BRAP_LNC001000)
Source: RNAcentral
CCGGAGAAGAGGCCAUUGUAGCGGAAGAGAGCAUAACGGAAGCCAUAUCUCCUUUUCUAUUUCUUCUUUACUAUGUGAGUUAGGUUUGGGUAUAAUGCUUUGGCCAUCUAUAUAUAAUGGUAUUAACACUGGAAACAAGCCGCAGAGUGAUAAGAGGGUUGAGAAUCCAAGAGAUUAGAGUAGAAUAGAAUUUAGACCAUUGAAAUUUUGAGUGGAUAUGGAUGAAGUUUGAUUGAAUUGUAACUGCCACAAAGGAUAAGAAAAUGUGGUGAUACCCCUAUCGGUUUGAACCACUAAAAUAGUGCCACGUGGAAGAUAAUUUCAUGAAUCUUAUCUAUAUCUAUAAAUGAAAUGAGUGAUGAUGGUGCUACUCAUUUUAUUUUCUGCUGGGUUUGGCCCAUUCUUUAAUGGGAAACAAAUAAUAUUAUUUAAGACUUUAUAUAUGUUCCGCAUUGAUCAUAUUCAAUUUUAGUUUAAAUGAUAUGGUAAGGCCCAAAUUAAAAAUUUGAUUGGGCCUUUAAAAAUGUGAAUAAAUUUUCAUGUCUAAAAUGAAAAUCUAAAAAUAUGUAAUGAGAAUAACUGAUGUGAAAGUUAAUAUACUAAAAUAUUGAUUUAUAAAUUUAGAGGAUUUCAAGUUAUAUUCAUUACAAAUUGUGUCUCUCUUUUUCAAUAUUCUCAUACUAAAUUUUACUUUGUUCCAAAUGGUGGAUAAUUUGUAUCAUUUAAUUCAAGAUGUGAAUCUAGGAGUCGAAUUUACUACUAGUCCUUUCUGUAGAAUAUUCCUACGGGUGUGACUGGUGACCAAGGGAAUAAGGAGAAACACUAUGUUCCUUAAUAUUUCUUAAACUUUUUACCAUUCAUAAGGAAUAUGUUUUCUUUUUCAUUCCUCUUCAUUCUUUUGUUUGUAGAGAAUUAUAGAACAAAUCAAUUCCUCGUUAAUUUUGAUAAGGAACCAUCAUUCCUCAUCAUUCCUAAAAUUUUAUUCCUACUCAUUCUUUUCCUAUCUGUUCAUGUUGUUCUUAUGAUGGUUAGUAGUCGCACUCGUAAUGAAUCAGUACGGGUGAAUCAAUAUUUAAUAUCCUUGAUUCAAAGAAAACAAAACCUCAUGGUGAUAAUAACAUGUUUGCCACUGAUCUGGGGCUUAAUGGGUAAUAUCACUGGGUGGAUAAUUGAAAAGUAAAACACCACAAAACCGCUGUACCAUAUGUAAUGGCGCCUAAAAAAGCUGCAUGCUAUGCUUUAGGCAAUGGCUUAACCUGACAGUUAUAUCCUCUACUAUUUGAAAAAAUAAUAAGAUAGCUUGGGUGGACUUUUUUCAUGAUACCAUUUGGAUCUUUUUGACCCAAAAAUUUUGGUUUUGUUUGGUCAAUUUCCACCUUGUCUAAUCAACAAAAGUAACACAUAAAACAAAAUGUAUUCGACGUAUUAUGUUGCGAUUAUUUUAAAGCAAAUAAAAUAUAAUUUUUUUUAGAUAAGAUAGUAGAAAAAAUAGUUAUAUUUUUGUAUAUGGAGAUUUCUCAUAUGUAUUAUUUUCUUAUAAGAUAUUUUAUUUAAAUAAUUUUUAUUUAAAUAAAAGACAAUUUUUUUUGACGUCAAAUGGCCAUAAAAAAAAAGAAAAGACAAUUUGAAUUUUUCUUACAAAUAAGAUAUACUCAGAUCUAUCAAAAUAACAUAAAAAGUUACAAAUUCACUUGACAUAGUUCCAAGAUAAUAAUUUUUUAUAAAUUAUUUAAUUGGAAAACUUUUAAACAAGAAUGGCUAAAUUAUGUAUAUGAUCCACACUGCACAAAAUAAUUGAAUAUACUAUGGUUAAAUGGAAAAAAAAUGAAUAUCCAAGACUCUUAUCUUCAAAUCUUAUCCUAAAGAAUUCACGUCCACUUAUGCUUCCAUCAAAGAUUUUCAGUGGGGCCAUCGUUUACUUUAAGAUAUAGUUUGAAAAAUGUUUCUACCUUUCAACCAUGUGAUAAAAGUGUUACUGUGAAUCUAUUUUUCUAAUAAUUAGUUCAUUUUAAUAACAUCACUUCUUUUAUUUUUGCCUAACUUCAGUAAAGACAGUCCAAAGUUUAAAUUCACUUAGUUUUAAUAUACCUCAACUUUGUAAAAUUCAUGUUUCGAUCCAUUGUCUUAAUUUUUUUAAUGCAAAAUUCAAAAUAAUAUAUUUUUAUAACAUUACAUAUUUAUUUUUUAGGACAUUUGAGGACCCAAAAGAAAAUAUCUUGCAACCCGGAAAACAAAGAUUAAAUCCGGAAAUUACAACAAAAGAUAAAAUAUAUAAAAAGAUGAUAAAUCAAAGGCAGGGAAGGAUAAAGUUUUGUUGUUUACACAAAGCAAUGAAGCUGUGUAAUUAAGCAUUAGUGAAGCUUGGUGGCUUGUAGGCGAUGAAACUGAUGCACUGGGCUUGACGAUUGUUGUCGAAUCCGAUGAUCCUAAUGAAGGCGUUGGGGUACUCCUUUUUGCAUUCUUGUACUUCCUUCAACACCUGAGCUGAGUCAGUGCAUCCGAACAAAGGAAGCUUCCACAUUGUCCAGUAUCGUCCAUCAUAGUAUCCAGGGAUGUUUCCAUGCUCACGGUAUACAAAACCGUGCUACGAAAAAAAUUAUACAAACCAUAAAUCGAUAUUCCUUAUUUUCAUUUACUACAACACAAAUAUGCAUAAGAUCUCUAAGUGUUUUACAAGAUCCGUAUGGUGAUCAUCUACAACUUAGUAUCAUUUACAAGAUCUCUUUAUUAUAAAUAUUUGUAAAUGUUCAUUUUUCAGUUUUUCUUACCUCCAACUCGAAUUCAAUACAUGGAGUCCACUUGUUGCGGAUAAGGUAGUCAACUUCCUUGGCUAUUUCGACAUCGGUAAGGUCAGGAAGGUAAGAGAGAGUCUCAAACUUCUUCUUGCCAACUGGAGGCCACACCUGUUUAUUACCAAUCAACAAAAGAAAUAUUAGUUUUGAAUAAUUGAGAAUUAAAAACCAUCAAUUUAUUUUGGGUAUAAGAAAUAUGUAUGACCUUCAUGCAGUUAACUCUUCCGCCGUUGCUUGUGAUGGAAGUAACUUUGGUGUUCGCCUUACAUGUCACUGGGAAAGCAGCAGAGGACUUAAGUCCGAUGAAUGGUGCGACCAUUGUGGCAUGAGCCGGAGAAGAGGCCAUUGUAGCGGAAGAGAGCAUAACGGAAGCCAUAUCUCCUUUUCUAUUUCUUCUUUACUAUGUGAGUUAGGUUUGGGUAUAAUGCUUUGGCCAUCUAUAUAUAAUGGUGUUAACACUAGAAACAAGCCGCAGAGUGAUAAGAGGGUUGAGAAUCCAAGAGAUUAGAGUAGAAUAGAAUUUAGACCAUUGAAAUUUUG